This 1146-nucleotide long non-coding RNA is filed under the name Sorghum bicolor (sorghum). RNAcentral describes it as "long non-coding RNA (SBIC_LNC007228)". The record is from RNAcentral. Lineage: Eukaryota; Viridiplantae; Streptophyta; Magnoliopsida; Poales; Poaceae.
UCCACUCGCUGCCUCCUCCUCCCCUCACGUUUCCUUAUCCACUCUUUUCCAUCUCCCUCUUGGCUUUUGUCUUGCUGUCCCGCUGCUCUUAUCACCCGUGCUCGCACUCCUACCGUACCGCUGGCGAGUCGUCCCUCCCACUUCCUUCCUCUCUCCCUCCCUCCCUCACCUUGCUACAACCUCUACACCUCUAUGCCAUCAGAGUGGGGGCGAUAAUGGUGGCUUGCAGCGAGCGCGGCACCUCUCUCCCUCCAUACUCUCUCUCCCUCGCUCUGCGACCUCGAUGCAUCUAGAGACGAGGAUGAUAGCGUAGCUUCGAUGAGGUAGGUGGGGAAGGAUUUGGAUCUGAGGCCUUCCUUUACCCUCCCUCCUCCUAUGGAUCUAGAUCUGAGCCCUUCUUUCCUCCUCCUCCACCUCCGCUAGCUCCUGCAGCUUCUCCUCCUCCUCCUACUCCUACUCCUCCUCUAGGUCUAGAUCUAUGGCAUAUGGUGACGGCUAAGGUUCCAGUAAGCUCUUGGGAUUUAGCGCUCGCGCGUGUUGUAAUGGUGUUCUUUGGUUGUUGCAGUAUGUUUUCAGGUGAAGCUCCAAUAGGGUAGGGUUUUAGCGAGCUCUCAGGUUCAGGUCUUAUCAUUAUUGCAAUGGUUCUCUCUAGACAUUGCAUUAGGUUUUAGUCAUUUAUUGCAGUACUGUGUUUUGAGAUGUUGUUUCAAUUGCUUCAAUCUGCAUGCUGUAUAGUUUGUUUUAUGUAGUUGCAGUAGUCGUUCGGUGUUAUUGUAGUACUAUAUCCAUGGUGUUUUAGUUGCUCUAUCCAAUGCUUUAAUAUGCACUAUUGUAUUAGUUGUUGCAUGUUGUUGCAACAACUGUUCGAUGUUGUUGUAGUACUACAUCCAUGGUGUUUCUGCUGCUCCAUCCAAUGCUUCAAUCUAUGUUGUUGUAUUAGUUGUUACAUGUUGCUGCAACAGUCAUUCAUUGUUGUUGUUGUUGUAAUACUAGGUUCAUGGUGUUCCAGCUACUCCAUCCAAUGCUUCAAUCUGUAUAUUGUAGUAGUUGUUUGCAUGCUAUUAUAGUAGUUGUUUGGUAUUUGUUGUAAUACUGUGUUUAUGAUAUUUCGGCUACUUCAACCUAUUGUUGUAGCACUAUGUCCUG